RNAcentral lists this long non-coding RNA (5380 nucleotides) under Salmo salar (Atlantic salmon). RNAcentral describes it as "lncRNA (ENSSSAG00000107679.1)". Lineage: Eukaryota; Metazoa; Chordata; Actinopteri; Salmoniformes; Salmonidae. The record is from RNAcentral.
AUAUUCAGCAAUGUUGGAGACUUCUGUCUCUCUCUUUCCUCUGAGAAAUGUCAGCAAACUCAAAUAUCUUGUUUUGUGGUAUUCUAAGAAAAUCCUCCAUUCUUAUCCAACAAUAUAUACAUUUAAUUGAAUAUUUCUUACAGUAAUAUGACUUAGUUUAAAUGAAACAAUGCUCCUUCAUUAUCUGGGCUUCACUCCAGUCAUUGAACAAGACUAUCUAUUCAACAGGAACAUGAGUUGACUCUAUCUAAUAUUUCAACACAUCCCACCCUCUUACAUUUAAAUUUUUUACAUUUUAGUCAUUUAGCAGACGCUCUUAUCCAGAGCGACUUACAGUAGUGAAUGCAUACAUUUCAUACAUUUUUUUUCCCAUUUUCUUUUCAUAUAUAUAUAUUUUUUUACAUAAACUCCCCAGACGGAUGUAUACGUUAGGAAAAGAUUCAAUGAGAAUAACUGAGUUGAAUUUGAAUUUAAGUUUCAAGUUUUUUAUUGCCACGUGCACUAGUACAGUGAAAUGCCUUACUUGCUUGCUCCUUCCCGACAAUGCGGUAGUACUAUAAAAAAUAAAUACAAAAAGUCAAGUAGAACAAAAAAACACAUGAGAAAUAGAAAUAACAACACAAGAAAGUGGGUAAGCUAUAUACAGGGUCAGUUCCUGGGUCAGUGCGAAUACCAUUUUUACAAUGUGCAGGGAUACUGGAGUAGUACGGUUAAAUGUGUAUAGGGGUAAGGUGACUACGCAUCAGGAUUUAUGCUAAACAGUGUAGCAACAGCGCAUAUGAUGAUUGCAUGAGAGUGUGUGUGUGUGUAGUCAGUGCUUGUUGUGUGUGUGUGUGUGUGUGUGUGUGUGUGUGUGUGUGUGUGUGUGUGUGUGUGUUGGCGUGUCAGUGUGAGUGUGUGUAGAGUUUGCAUAGAGACUAGAGAAUCGAGAAAUUCAAUAAAAUAGAAGGGUCAAUGCAGAUUGAUAAAUAGCAACCAAAAAAAUGGCUACAUUGACUGUCUUAUGGCUUGGGGAUAGAAGCUGUUCAGGAGACUUUUGGUGUCGGACUUGAUUCUCCAGUACCGCUGCCGUGCGGAAGCAGAGAGAAUGUUUAUGUACAUGGGGCAGAUACACAGCAAAUUCUGCAGUGUUAAAUGUAACACUGGUCCAGUUUAUAUAUGGGUCUACACUUGUCAGUGUUUAAUUAACACACAGCUUAGUGUAAAGCCUGACUUGCAUAUUUCCCAGAGUGCAUUGCUUUUCAAGUGAAUUAUAGAGCUACCACACAUGACUGUAUUUUUUAGUGACAGGCAUGGUUGUUGUAAUAAUCCAUUUUCAGUCCUGUGGCCUUCACCAAGUGAGAUCCUGAUUGAAUAUGUUAGCAUUAAAAUGUAAUUAUUUAACACGAUACAACAAGUAUUUAAUAAGGCCUUAUUUUGAGGUCCUAGUUUGACCCUAGUACAGUGGCCUUGAACUCAAGGUUUUCAGGCCUGCAAUUCACAUUAUGAUGGCUUGCAAAGUGAUUUGUAAUUCCUAUUGCACUCCAGCAAGAGUGGAGAUAUAUUUUUUAUUUUACAUGUAUGUUUUUGUCAUUUAGCAGAUGCUCUUAUCCAGAGCGAUUUACAGGUGCAAUUAGGAUUAAGUGCCUUGCUCAAGGACACAUCGACUGAUUUUUCACCUUGUCUGCUCGGGAUUCAUGUAUGGGAUUCAUGUACAGGGAAAAAUGUAUGUUAUUUAUAUUUGAGUAGAAUAAGAUUAAUGAAUCAAUCAAUGUACAUAGAUAUGGAAACAAACAAUUUAAUGAAUCAACAUGCAAUAGAGCAUGCUGGGAAAUAUGAUAAUGAUGGGCAUGGUUUUUGCUGAACACUGGCUUUAAACACCAACACUGGGGUUAAUUUACACCAAUGAGUGUUAAUUUAACACUUACAGAGUUCAUUUAAUAACACCUGAAUGAACACUAGAAAUGUUACACUGAAAAAUCAACACCAGGUAACACUGAACAAUUUGCUGUGUACAAGUAAAACAUUAACACGAUUCAUUGAAAAAUAAACCAGACUUUGAACGAAAGUUUAAAAUAAUUUAAUUGCAAAGAUCACAGCUAAGAUAAAAUAUACUGAACACAACAUAAAUAUAAAGCCCAACAUGCAACAUUUUCAAAGAUUUUACUGAGUUACAGUUCAUAUAAGGAAAUCAGUCAAUUGAAAUAGAUUAAUUAGGCCCUAAUCUAUGGAUUCCAUGACUAGGAAUACAGAUAUGCAUCUGUUGGUCACAGAUACCUUUUAAAAAAGGUAUGCGUAUGGAUUGGAAACCAGUCAGUAUCUGGUGUGGGCAUCAUUUGCCUCACACAUCUCCUUCGCAUAGAGUUUAUCUGGCUAUUGAUUGUGGUCUGUGGAAUGUUGUUGAUCCUGAGCAUCCCAAACUUGCUCAAUGGGUUACAUGUCUGGUGAGUAUGCAGGCCAUAGAGAUUUGCAGAUUUCAGGAAUUGUGUACAGCUCCGUGCGCAUUAUCAUGCUGAAACAUGAGGUGAUGGUGGCAGAUGAAUGGCACGACAAUGGGCCUCAGGAUCUCAUCACGGUAUCUCUGUGCAUACAAAUUUCCAUCAAUGAAAUACAAUUGUGUUCGUUGUCCGUAGCUUAUGCCUGCCCAUACCAUAACCCCACCGCCACCAUGGGACAUUCUGUUCAAAACGUUGACAUGAGCAAACCACUCACCCACAUGAUGCCAUACACGCUGUCUGUCAUUUGCCCUGUACAGUUGAAACCAGGAUCCAUCCGGGAAGAGCACACUUCUCCAGCGUGCCGGUAGCCAUCGUAGGUGAGUAUUUUCCACCUGAGGUCGGUUACAAAACCGAACUGCAGUCAGGUCAAGACCCUGAGGAGGACGACGAGACCCUGGGGAGAACGGCAAGCACGCAGAUGAGCAUCCCCGAGACGGUUUCUGUGCAGACAGUUUGUGCAGAUAUACUUUUGUUGUGCAAAUCCACAGUUUCAUUAGCUGUGGCUGAUCUCAGACGAUCCCGAAGGUGAAGAAGCCAGAUGUGGAGGUCCUGGGCUGGCGUGGUUACACGUGGCCUGCGGUUGAGAGGCCAGUUGGAUGUACUGUCAUAUUCUCAAAAACAACGUUGGAGAAUGCUUAUGGUGGAGAAACGAACAUUCAAUUCUCUGGCAACAUCUCUGGUGGACAUUCCUGCAGUCAAAAUGACAAUUGCUCGCUCCCUCAAAACACGAGACAUCUGUGGCAUUGUGUUGUGUGACAAAUCUGCACAUUUUAGAGUGGCCUUUUAUUGUCCCCAGCACAACAUGCAUCUGUGUAAUGAUCAUGCUUUCUUGAUAUGCCACACCUGUCUGGUGUAUGGAUUAUCUUGGCAAAGGAGAAAUGCUCACUUGCAGGGAUGUAAACAAAACAUACCAUAGCCCCAACGCCGCCAUGGGGCACUCUGUUCACAAUGUCGACAUCAGCAAACCGCUCGCCCACAUGUCGCCAUAGAGGUGGUCUGCGGUUGUGAGGCAGAUUUCUGGGAUCUUUUAUUUCAGCUCAUGAAACAUGGGACCAAAACUUUACAUGUUGCGUUUAUAUUUUUGUUCAGUAUAAUAAACCAUACAAUCAUAUAACCAUGUCAGAUUAGUAAAACAAUUAUAAUACUAGUACUGCAAUUAGUCUCCUUUUGUAGGUAUUCACAGUGUCAAAUAAUUUAUUCACGGAAUUUAGAUUCUUUGAGGAGGAUCCUGCUCCUCAGCUGUAAAUCACUCCAUAUCAAAUGCUGUUUCAGCGGAAGUCUCCUCCUCGCAUUUCAAAUCCCCUCUCUGCCUCAGACUGACCUUAAGUGUAAUGUUAAUAGUGCCGCAGCCCUCUGCAGACACCUCAGUACAGACACGGACAGGGCUAUAUACCGAUUCUUUAAUGAUUUUCAUACAUGCGGAUUGCAGCUGAACGAGCAACCUCGAUGAUAAGUCGCUUGUUUCUUUCCCUUCAUCGUUCUUCUUGUUUUUCUCAGUCGUCUCUUUAGCACUGGGGCUAGAUUCAAGUUCUUCUGACUCUAUAGCAGCUACAUCUUCAAGAACAUCUGCAAUUUCUUCCAGCUCUUCUAGUUCUGCAGCGAUUGCUGAGUAUAUAGCAGCUUCAUUUUCAAGAACAUCUGCAAUUUCUUCCAGCUCUUCAGCGAUUGCUGAGUCUACAGCAGCUUCAUUUUCAAGAACAUCUGCAAUUUCUUCCAGCUCUUCUAGUUCUGCAGCGAUUGCUGAGUAUAUAGCAGCUUCAUUUUCAAGUUCAUCUGCAAUUUCCUCCAGCUCUUCUUUGGGUACGGGGCUCUUCUCCACAGUUGUAUCCUCUGUGGGUUCUUCACCAAAGACCGGUUCUGUUGUCUCCUCUUCAGGUGGGCUGACACUUUCCUCCGUAGGCUGCUCUUCAGAUCUUUCAGUGGUGAUUUGAAUGAUGUCUGCCGUAAGAAAAUCCAGCAGUGAUGAAAGUUCAGGCUCUGCCUCCGGAAAUGAGAAUCUGACUGCCAGUUGCUUUGGAAACAAAUGUGCAGCCAUCAAGACUUCACUUUUCUCCUUUGAAUCAAUAAGAAUUUUUGUUAGAUUUGUAAUGUGUUUUGUUAAACACUGGAAAGUGAAGAAUGACGUGUUGAUGUUCACACAACAGAUGCAAUAUUAUUGUAAGUUAAUGUUACCAAUUCAAAGUACAACUCACAUUAUAGUGGCUAUAUCCUUAGUUAACUACAUUGGAAUAACCAAAAUCAUUUAGAUGUAGAUAUAUGAACAUCUCAAGUUAGGAGUUGAUGAUCAUUAAUCAAUGAUCACUACACUGAGUAAAGUUGAAAUGGAUCUUAUGCCAACCCAAUUUGAAGGGACUACUGAUUAGAUACUUACAGUGUGGAUCCCAUUGAUCACCGUUACAGGGACUUCCGGGGAACUCUUACUCUCCUCCACAGUUUUCUCCUUUAUGGGCUCCUCCUUUUCAGGGGCUGGAUCAGGGUUGGGUUGAGGUGUAGCUUUCUUCUUGAAGAGGUUGUCAAAUACGUUAACUCUUUCUUUUGAACUCUCCUUGGGCUCCUUCUUUUGGUGGUUUGGUUCCGGUAUGGUUUUCGCCUUAGCAGUCUCUGCUUCCGUUUCUGGAACAUUCUCAAUGACAGGCUCCUGUUCCACCCCCACAGGCGCACAACCACUGCCGUUUGCCUCCACUAUACCUGGCUCUUUAGCGGGAGGCAGUGAGGAAGGCUGACUGUUCUGCUCCACAGCUGCUUCACUGGUAUCUGCAAGAGAUAGGUUACUUGGUGUGGUGUGACAGGAAAUAGAAAGUUAUUUGCUAUGAUUCAUCAUUUGUACACAAGGAUCAGUUACCGCUCUGUCUCUAGCUGCUGUCUCCUGUUCCACAUCUCAACUACCUUGCUCUGGAUUUUAC